RNAcentral lists this transfer RNA (73 nucleotides) under Marmota monax (woodchuck). RNAcentral describes it as "tRNA.Ala". The record is from RNAcentral. Lineage: Eukaryota; Metazoa; Chordata; Mammalia; Rodentia; Sciuridae.
GUGGGGCUAUGGCUCAGUGGUAAAGCGCUUGCCUUGCAUGAGUGAGGCACUGGGUUCGAUCCUCAGCACCACA